UCUCCUUCAACCCCAAACCCUCUCUUUCUUUUCCUCUCUUUAUUUUCUUUUCUACUAAAGAAAUACGAGGGAGAGAGAAAGAGCCCAGCUGGCUAGCCCAUCUGCAGCUCACUGGACCGGCCCACCUCCUCUUUAACCUAGCACCAGCGAGCCUGACUCCUCUCUCCUCUCGUCUCCCUGCUUGCGCCGCCAAAGACCAGCAUCGCUCGAUCCCAUCUCUUCCUCUGCCCGCUGCCUCCUGCUCGACCCUCCUCUCUCGUUUGUCUCCUUCCUCAUGCCCGACUAGCAGGCCACCAGCGAGGCCCCGCAUCCGCGCCGGCCCUUGCCCUGCCGUCCGCCGGCCCGGCGAGCCGGACCUCUCCGCCGCCCUCGCCGACAACCUGCCCUGCACCAUCUCUGUCUUCCUCGUCCUCGUCUCGCGUCUCCGUCCUCGCCCUGGGUGUCGCAGGGAGCUCAAGCCCCGCCGUCAGUCGCCCGCGACCUCCUCCUCUUGGCUCUGCUCCGGCCUGCCUAGCCCCAUCGCCUCCAGUGCCUCAAGUCCCGCGCCCGAGCCCUCUGCUCGAUCAGGAGCUCUGCCUCCCUUGUUCCGCGCCAAGGUCGAUGCCGUCCGCUUCGUCCUGCUGGUGCUCUUCCCGUUGACCGCAUCGACCUCCCCUGCUCCAUUUGGUGGACCACUAGGCUGCCCUCUCCUUCCCCUGCGCAGGAGCUCGCAGCCACCACCAUGCGCCGCCAUGCCUCCCCUGCAAUUGCUCUCCGGCGAACUCCUGCAGCUCCGCCACGUUCCGGUGCCGCCGGCUGACCUCGUCUUCCUUCUGUCCUGUUGCUGCCUCCAUGCACAUGUGGCGCUCGUUGGACCGAACGCCUCUGGCCCCAAGCCGACAAGUACCCCGGAGCCCACUUCGACGCCAUGUACCUCGACCCCGUUGGCUUCGGUGACCCGCCAAGGCCGGUUACAACUCGUGUACCACUACUAA
Molecule: ribosomal RNA, 974 nt
Filed under: Triticum aestivum (bread wheat)
Lineage: Eukaryota; Viridiplantae; Streptophyta; Magnoliopsida; Poales; Poaceae
Description: partial small subunit ribosomal RNA
Source: RNAcentral